RNAcentral lists this ribosomal RNA (253 nucleotides) under uncultured bacterium. Its description in RNAcentral is "partial 16S ribosomal RNA". It matches the Rfam family "Bacterial small subunit ribosomal RNA", at positions 524 to 776 of the family's 1533-position model. The record is from RNAcentral.
UACGUAGGGUGCGAGCGUUGUCCGGAAUUAUUGGGCGUAAAGAGCUCGUAGGCGGUUUGUCGCGUCGGCCGUGAAAACUUGGGGCUUAACUCCAAGCUUGCGGUCGAUACGGGCAGACUUGAGUUCGGCAGGGGAGACUGGAAUUCCUGGUGUAGCGGUGAAAUGCGCAGAUAUCAGGAGGAACACCGAUGGCGAAGGCGGGUCUCUGGGCAGUAACUGACGCUGAGGAGCGAAAGCGUGGGGAGCGAACAGG